This 741-nucleotide ribosomal RNA is filed under the name uncultured rumen protozoa. Its description in RNAcentral is "bacterial SSU rRNA". It matches the Rfam family "Eukaryotic small subunit ribosomal RNA". The record is from RNAcentral.
CCGAUAUCCUAUCUUUAAACUAGCGAUAGAAUGAAUGCCAUUACAUCCAGUACCUAUGGAUUCAAGUCCUAGUCGGGGAGUAUGUUCGCAAGACUGAACUAAGAAUGACGAGGCACCACCAGGAGUGGAGCUGCGGCUAUUUGACUCAACACGGGGAAACUUACCAGGUCCAGACAUAGUAAGGAUUGACAGAUUGAUAGCUCUUUCUUGAUUCUAUGGGUGGUGGUGCAUGGCCCGUUCUUAGUUGGUGGAGUGAUUUGUCUGGUUAAUUCCGAUAACGAACGAGACCUUAACCUGCUAAUUAGUCGUCUUCAUUUUAUGGGGUAUGACUUCUUAGAGGGACUAUGCAUAUCAAGUGCAUGGAAGUUUGAGGCAAUAACAGGUCUGUGAUGCCCUUAUAUGUAACUAGGCUGCACGCGUGCUACACUGAUGAAUGCGCACAAAGUGCCUAGCUAGACAUAGUAUGGCAACCUGGAAUAUGCAUCGUGAUGGGGAUAGAUCUUUGCAAUUAUAGAUCUUGAACGAGGAAUUCCUAGUAAGUGCAAGUCAUCAUCUUGCAUUGAUUAUGUCCCUGCCCUUUGUACACACCGCCCGUCGCUCCUACCGAUACCGGGUGAUCCGGUGAACCUUUUGGACCUUCACUGGAAAAAUAAGUAAACCUUAUCACCUAGAGGAAGGAGAAGUCGUAACAAGUAAUCUAGAUGCAUCGCGAGGUGGAGCUCGAAUCACUGCCGCGUUGCG